UAAAGUCAGAAAUAGCACCAAGGCAGGGCAUUUUGUGCUAGUUGGAGGAUUCUGUUUCCAGGGUAAAGAAAGACAAGACAGACAAAAUGUCACCUCCAUGAGUGCCAUACACACUUGGUCUGAGCACAGGGCUGAAAGUAUCCAGCUGUCCUUGGUCUGCAGGAGCUCUGCUUUCACCUGCUAAAGUGCCAGGAUCACAGUGAGAAGGGAGUCACCCAUGAAGAUUUGUUCAUGCAGCUAAGCAAACUUUCAUGGAUAAAAUUCAAAACAGAAAAGGGAAUGAAUACUGUGUACCCAGACAGCAAUAAACAUUUAGCUGCAGACCACUGACAGAAAUCUAUAGACCACCAGUUUGGGAAACCUCAGCUUCGAACUCUAAAUGAUUCAACAUUUGUGUAAGUCAGACACGUUCUGCUAUUAUGUAACUAAAUAAUUUUAUAUCCAUGGUCAUUGUAAUGCUAAGAGGUUCAGACAGUGUAUGAACUGUUUACUCUUGCAAAUUGUCUCUCUAGUAAUUAGGUGAUAAAAUUGAAAGUGCUU
This 540-nucleotide long non-coding RNA is filed under the name Ficedula albicollis (Collared flycatcher). Its description in RNAcentral is "lncRNA (ENSFALG00000025229.1)". Lineage: Eukaryota; Metazoa; Chordata; Aves; Passeriformes; Muscicapidae. The record is from RNAcentral.